UGGGGAAUUUUGGACAAUGGGGGAAACCCUGAUCCAGCCAUCCCGCGUGUGCGAUGAAGGCCUUCGGGUUGUAAAGCACUUUUGGCAGGAAAGAAACGUCAUGGGUUAAUACCCCGUGAAACUGACGGUACCUGCAGAAUAAGCACCGGCUAACUACGUGCCAGCAGCCGCGGUAAUACGUAGGGUGCAAGCGUUAAUCGGAAUUACUGGGCGUAAAGCGUGCGAAGGCGGUUCGGAAAGAAAGAUGUGAAAUCCCAGAGCUAAACUUUGGAACUGCAUUUUUAACUACCGGGCUAGAGUGUGUCAGAGGGAGGUGGAAUUCCGCGUGUAGCAGUGAAAUGCGUGGAUAUGCGGAGGAACACCGAUGGCGAAGGCAGCCUCCGGGGAUAACACUGACGCGCAUGAACGAAAGCGUGGGGAGAAAACAGG
RNAcentral lists this ribosomal RNA (429 nucleotides) under Acidobacteriota bacterium. RNAcentral's name for it is "Acidobacteria bacterium partial 16S ribosomal RNA". It matches the Rfam family "Bacterial small subunit ribosomal RNA", at positions 355 to 776 of the family's 1533-position model. The record is from RNAcentral. Lineage: Bacteria; Pseudomonadati; Acidobacteriota.